Brachypodium distachyon (stiff brome) is the source of this 1385-nucleotide long non-coding RNA. RefSeq lists it as uncharacterized. The transcript has 4 exons. NCBI's taxonomy places the organism in Eukaryota, Viridiplantae, Streptophyta, Magnoliopsida, Poales, Poaceae. The record is from RefSeq and is a predicted model, not a curated record.
ACUCCGUAUACGUGAGUCGGCUCAUAUAUGUAUUUCCGCGAUCGCAGGAGGUGAGCCGGCUCGCGGAGGAACCGCACGGGAUCUCAGGGCGGGGAACACAACAUAUGCCUUUGAUCUCGUGUAUCACGCGGCACAAAAUCGCCUACUCUACUAGCUCGCCAGAGAGAGCUCGCCUCGGAGUAGGCGACUAGAUCGAUCUCCCGCUCAGCUGCUCUAGACGAAAGAAAAAAGAGCUUUUAUGCUUGCACGACCUGCUGAAUCUGAACUUGCGAAAGAUAUAGGGAUCAAGCUGCAGACAGAGCAUGCUCGCAACCUGUUCGUCGGAAUGCUGCCAUGACUGUGGACUGCGUGCCGGCCCUAGAGUCCAUACGAUCAUCUCCUCUGAAGGGAAACUAUCGUGAGCUGCAGUCUCAGAGGAAUAUUUUUGAGACAAAUCUGUAGGAGAGGCUCUGACAGAGAAUAUAUUAAGAAAAAUAAUAUGUACAAGUGCAUACAAGGACGCAAGCUCAAGGCAGAGCACCAGAAAAGGGAAAAAGAUCUCAGAGGAAUAUGAGUACUGAACUGCUGAUUCACUAUUAAGUGGCUCGUCAAAAUUAUUCCAAGGACUAAUAUACUGCACACAGAUGGAUUCACAUAGUGUCUUCUGCAGACAAGUUCUCUCAGCCAUGAGAUGUUUUCGCGUGACCUUGCCGAAUAUCCACCUGCAAUGGCAGAGAAUGGUCAAAUCGGGGGCCCAGAAGAUCCAGACAUUCUUUUCCCUAUGGAAGAUGGAUGUUAAGGAGGAGACGACUCCCUGUAUGCAUGAUUCAUCAAGUGCAGUCCAGCACUAAAGGAAAGCGAAAUAAAAGAGUGGCACGCUUUUGGAAAGCACCAUGGUCCAUCCAUGGGCAGUUGAGCACGCCCCUGCAGGAACCCCAAUCUGGAAAAGGAUAGAAGAAAUCGAGCCAGAAUCUGAUUAUUUAUGGACACACCUCCGGUUGGGGUAUCCACCAUCAUCCAAUGCGGAGCACAGUGCGUGCUGAAAUAGAGGAGGUGGCGUUACAAAGAUUCAUACCUGCCAUUCUGAGCUUACACCGAACUCUAUCGGGUAAUCUGAAUGGAAAGCAGGGCUUUCCACUGGGUGGAGCUGAUCGGUCAUUUGUCUUGUAGCAAUGAUCUUAUCGCCAUGUUUGCAUAAAAUGGAGGCCAUAAUUACCACUUUAUCAUGCUUCUGCCUGCCUUUCCUCAUGGGGAUAUGCUAUUUUAUGCUAUAAAGAGCAGAUCAUGGUCAGGGAUAAGACUAGAAUGACCUGCAAGUGGUUUGUUGCUCAUCAUCUCUACUUUACUUUCAUGAAUGAUAAAUUGCAGUGUUCUCGUUUCUCAAGAAAAUAAAUGAUGAUUGAUUA